This 138-nucleotide transfer-messenger RNA is filed under the name Bifidobacterium sp. Its description in RNAcentral is "partial transfer-messenger RNA". It matches the Rfam family "transfer-messenger RNA", at positions 1 to 136 of the family's 374-position model. Rfam says of the family: Bacterial tmRNA, also known as 10Sa RNA or SsrA, is named for its dual tRNA and mRNA-like properties. Its role is to liberate the mRNA from a stalled ribosome. Lineage: Bacteria; Bacillati; Actinomycetota; Actinomycetes; Bifidobacteriales; Bifidobacteriaceae. The record is from RNAcentral.
GGGGAUGAUCGGUUUCGACGGUGACCUGUUCGUCGCAGGGAAGCGUGCCGAGAACGUAGGGUCCGCUCGUGGAUGCCCCCUACAAAAGAAUAAGUGCUAAAUCUAACCGCACUGAGUUCGCUCUCGCUGCCUGAGCUU